Molecule: long non-coding RNA, 287 nt
Filed under: Setaria viridis
Lineage: Eukaryota; Viridiplantae; Streptophyta; Magnoliopsida; Poales; Poaceae
Description: long non-coding RNA (SVIR_LNC001035)
Source: RNAcentral
AACGGAUAAAAGAAGAGAGCACUCGUACGCAUUCAUUGCCAGAAGAAAUUGCGAGGGGGAAGCUACCAAUAGGGGGUCAUACGUGCUGACGUGGCUAGUUUUGAAGUAUUGGGAAGUUUAUUAUUGGGAUCUGCUGUGGCAUGACAUGACGAUGUUGGGGAACAAAUUUUUAGUAGAACCCCAAUACAUAAUUUUGAGAAUUUUUUUUUGAAAAACUUUUGGAAUUGCUCUUACUAAAAGCUAGGGAAACAUACAAAGCUAUCCUUGCUGUUGAUGGUACUCCUAGG